Molecule: long non-coding RNA, 617 nt
Organism: Ictalurus punctatus (channel catfish)
Lineage: Eukaryota; Metazoa; Chordata; Actinopteri; Siluriformes; Ictaluridae
Exons: 6
Source: RefSeq, a predicted model, not a curated record
CCCUGACAGACGAUUAGAGGAACUGGUGAGAGGUCGCAUUCAUGGCUUCAGUUCCUUUCUUGCAGGUAAACUCGUUCUUCAACUCCAUCUUCUGCAGUUAAAAAGCCCAUUUACCCGCUCUGUGUUUUACACUCGAACUGGACUGAGAACUCUCCACAUCUGCUACCUGUAGACACAGGUUAUAAACACCACAAUGGACUGGAGGGUUAUUCUGGCUAUCUUGUGUCUGAUUGCCACAAGUUCCGCAGACAAUUCUACGAGUAAUUCAAAUUCAACAAACACUUCUGCAGUAGCUGCAACAUUCAACUUGGUCUUUAGCAUCAAUGAAACCUUUGUUGAAGAAAUGGCCAAUACCAGCUCUCCACAGUUCACAGCAAAAGCUACAACGAUCCGCCAUCAGCUUGAACCAAUUUACAGACAAACCUUCACAAACUUCAUCCAGAUGGUCAUUCUUGAAUUCAGGAAUGGUUCGAUUGUGACAAAUUCCACUCUUGAAUUUACCGCCAAUGGCACCAUCCCAACUAACUCCACACUACAAGACGCCCUUGUUAAUGCGACCAGCACCAACUCAAGCUUGAACAUUAUUCCAACUUCUAUAAAAGUCACCCGGGUUCCUG